RNAcentral lists this unclassified non-coding RNA (330 nucleotides) under soil metagenome. RNAcentral describes it as "partial contains 5.8S ribosomal RNA, internal transcribed spacer 2, and large subunit ribosomal RNA". The stretch from base 1 to 120 matches the Rfam family "5.8S ribosomal RNA", at positions 35 to 154 of the family's 154-position model. The record is from RNAcentral.
GAUGAAGAACGUAGCGAAAUGCGAUAAGUAAUGUGAAUUGCAGAAUUCAGUGAAUCAUCGAAUCUUUGAACGCACAUUGCGCCCCCUGGUAUUCCGGGGGGCAUGCCUGUUCGAGCGUCAUUUCACCACUCAAGCCUCGCUUGGUAUUGGGCAACGCGGUCCGCCGCGUGCCUCAAAUCGACCGGCUGGGUCUUCUGUCCCCUAAGCGUUGUGGAAACUAUUCGCUAAAGGGUGCUCGGGAGGCUACGCCGUAAAACAAACCCAUUUCUAAGGUUGACCUCGGAUCAGGUAGGGAUACCCGCUGAACUUAAGCAUAUCAAUAACGGAGGA